GCCUUUCUUUGCUUGAAUUCUGCAACGUCCAUUGCCUUUGUUAGUGGCGGAGCCACUCAACCAUCAAGGCCUAGCUCUUUGCCAACCGCAAUAACAUCCAAAAAUACGCCACUAAGAGAAUCUUUUAAGAAUACCUAAACAAGCUCCGUCUUAAUUAAGUGACAAAUUUAUAUUUUUCAUACUCGAGCGUCUUCUCUACUCGAUUUCUCAAGAUGCCCCCUUCUUAUCUCUCCAUGAGUCUGUCUGUUAUGUGCCUAUAACCUUUUGCUAUAAGUUGGUCAUGUUAAAAUUGACACUUCAUUGAUACAAGGCAGAAAGGGGUUCGAUUUUCUUGUUUUCUACUUUGCAUCUCUUUCUUGGAGGUACCUUUGGUAUAACUAAUUAACUAUUUCGGCUGAGGGAGAAAGAACGAGACAGAGGAAGAUUGUUUUUAAAUUUAAACUAAUGGCGUCUUCAAUUCUUUUUCCGGCAAAUUCUGUUACUGGAACAAGAAGCAAGACUCCUGGGUUCUUGCUCUCUGGAGGUCGACCGUCGUUAGCUCAGGUGGUGAGGACUCCAAGGUUGUUCUUUGUUCGUUCUUCUUUGGACUCUUUGGAGACAAACGUGUCUGAUAUGAGUGUUAAUGCUCCAAAGGGGUUGUUCCCACCAGAACCUGAACAUUAUAAAGGACCAAAGUUGAAGGUGGCUAUUGUUGGAGCUGGGCUUGCAGGGAUGUCAACUGCAGUGGAGCUAUUGGAUCAAGGUCAUGAGGUUGAUAUAUAUGAAUCAAGAACUUUUAUUGGUGGUAAAGUGGGAUCAUUUGUUGAUAGACGUGGAAAUCACAUUGAAAUGGGACUUCAUGUUUUCUUUGGCUGCUACAACAAUCUAUUCCGUUUGAUGAAGAAGGUAGGUGCAGAUAAGAAUCUACUUGUGAAGGAUCAUACUCACACAUUUGUAAACAAGGGGGGUGCAGUUGGGGAGCUUGAUUUUCGGUUUCCAAUUGGAGCUCCAUUACAUGGGAUUCGUGCUUUUUUGUCUACAAAUCAGCUUAAGACAUACGAUAAAGCAAGAAAUGCUGUGGCUCUUGCCCUAAGUCCAGUUGUGAAGGCCCUUCUUGAUCCAGAUGGAGCAAUGAAGGACAUAAGAAAUUUAGAUGGUAUCAGCUUCUCUGAUUGGUUUUUGUCCAAAGGAGGCACACGCAUGAGCAUCCAAAGAAUGUGGGAUCCUGUUGCCUAUGCCCUUGGGUUUAUUGACUGUGAUAACAUCAGUGCCCGUUGUAUGCUUACUAUAUUCUCAUUGUUUGCCACUAAGACAGAAGCUUCCCUACUACGCAUGCUCAAGGGUUCUCCGGAUGUUUACUUGAGUGGUCCUAUUAGAAAGUAUAUUGAAGAUAAAGGAGGCAGGUUUCAUUUAAGGUGGGGAUGCAGACAGAUAAUGUAUGAUGCAUCUGCUGAUGGAGAAACAUAUGUCACAGGACUUGCCAUGUCAAGAUCUACUAACAAGAAAGUUGUGAAAGCUGAUGCUUAUGUAGCAGCAUGUGAUGUUCCUGGAAUUAAAAGAUUACUUCCAUCCCAGUGGAGGGAAUCAAAAUUUUUUGAUAAUAUUUAUGAGCUAGUUGGAGUACCUGUUGUGACAGUGCAACUUAGAUAUAAUGGCUGGGUCACAGAGUUACAGGAUCUAGAAAGAUCAAGGCAAUUGAGGCAAGCUAUUGGUUUAGAUAACCUUCUGUACACACCAGAUGCUGAUUUUUCUUGUUUUGCGGACCUUGCACUCAGUUCUCCUGAAGAUUACUAUAUUGAAGGACAAGGGUCAUUGCUCCAGUGUGUUCUUACACCAGGUGAUCCAUACAUGCCUUUGCCGAAUGAUGAAAUAAUAAAGAGAGUCUCAAAGCAGGUUUUGGCUUUACUUCCAUCAUCCCAAGGCUUAGAAGUUAUCUGGUCAUCUGUUGUAAAAAUCGGGCAAUCGUUAUAUCGCGAGGGACCCGGCAAAGAUCCGUUCAGACCAGAUCAAAAGACGCCUGUGAAAAAUUUCUUCCUCGCUGGCUCUUACACAAAACAGGAUUACAUAGACAGCAUGGAAGGAGCAACUUUAUCUGGCAGACAGGCUUCAGCAUAUAUAUGUGAUGCUGGUGAAGACUUAGUAGCAUUAAGGAAGAAGCUUGCUGGUACAGAAUCUCCAGAAAACAGAGAGUCCGCUCCUAUUACUGAUGAGCUAAGUCUUGUAUGAUAUAUAGCUGAUUUUCAAGAGAAGCUUAAAUCAUCUUUGUUCGUGAUUAGAACAAUUCUAUUCAAUGAUUAUAAUCUUGCAUUUGGUCAAAAUGAACCCAAGAAGAGAUCAAGAGUAUCAUGGUGGCUGGAGUGGUUCAAACCAUAGUAGAUGUUGUCAAAGCAGCUUGGGGUAUAUAUACAUAUACCAUGAUCAAGUUCUUAACUCUCAUCUUAAUUGAUCACAGAAAAUUAUCAGUUUUGAUGCAAUUCAAGUGGUCGUCCCUGGCACCUAUCAAAUGGGUUGCACACGAGGCUCGCUUAGGCUGUUAUGAACAAAUGCAUGUUCUGCUUAUGAUGCCUACGGUUGUCGAAAGGACUAUUUUUAUGGAUCACAAUAGCCAUCACCAGGCAGCUCUUGAAGAAUUGAGAAAAGAAUACCUUAAUGUGCAUAUAAACGACUCUAUAAACCCAUCAAGCGUUCAAUAGAGGUUAAUAAUGCAUGUUGUUUUAAUUUUUUAAAAAUUUCUCAUUAUGCACAGGAUUUAAAUCAUUACCACAAGCUUGUUGAGGGAUUGGAGGAAAAUAUAAUUCCAAUCUCGACCGAGCUCAAAGUUGAGCAGAACCUGGAGUUCAAAUCCUGCAGAAUAUGUAUUUUGUGAUGCAGGACAUUUUAUCAGAGGCUGGAGACCAAAUUUUAACAUAUUUUCUACCAUUCUAGUGAAAAAAGAAGCAAGUAGCAAGAUAUGUAAUGCUUAAAAAACUAGAACAAUACCAUAAUCAGCUGUUAACCACAGAGCAACUAAAUUAUUCCAAAUAUAACUCAUGUAUGUAUCAAAAUAAAGCUCAAGUUCAGGACUAACACCAAAUGGAAAAGAUCUAAAUUCCACAUCCUCAAUAUUCCUGACUCUGACAAUGAUAAGAUUUGACUAUAUCAGACACCAUAGAGUUACAAACAACAAACACAUACCAGGUAUUAUGCAAUACGAAGCUCAUUUCACCUCCACACCUUACUUUAUCCACUUAAAUCCAUCUUCUGCUUCUUUCUCAAUGGCACUCUUUGCAACCUCCAGAUCCUCAUCGAAGAAAAUAUCCCACUGGCCCUCCCACUUGAUGAAAAACUCUGUAUCCUCAAAAUACUUCACUCUGUGCACAUCCCCAGCAGGAGUAAACAGAUAAUCUCCAACACCCAGAUCAUACUUUGUCUUCUUGCCCAAAUUCCACACCCUCUUGCUCCCCUUCAUCACCACCAAAUCAUGCCCAAAUGUAUGGUGAUGGGCCGGCUCAACACUCCCUGCCUUGAAGCUCACUAUAGCUGAUGUUGGGCUCUCCCUUACUAUCUUCAUUGAACCUCCUGGGAUAAUAUCAAUCGGAUCCAGCUUCCUGUUCUUCACUAAGCAACAUAGAGCACACGGAGUUAGAGUUUCUUCCUUAUUUUCAUUGGAUAUAUCUUCUUUUCCGACUUUUGGCAUUUCCUCAAGGGAAUUGUCUAGGAAUGAAGAUAUCUCUUCGCUCCAGGGAGCGAAAUUAAAAGCAGGACAUGGUGCCUUGAAAGGAGUAUUGAGCCAAGUGUCGAGGAUCUCUAUGGCGGAUUCUGGAGACGUGGACAUGCCAGAGACCGCGAGGACAUUGCAGUUGUUAAUGGAGCGGGUGUUGAUAGCUUCGGCUGUUGAGAGGCAGGUGGAAGCGAAGACGCCAGGGAACUUGUUGGCAAAUAUGGAGACACCGACGCCGGUUCCGCAAGCUACAAGGCCACGGAUUUCAGGGCAAAGAGAGGAUGGAGAUGUGGCGUUAGCAGCGGAGACGCGGCGGCCAACCUCAGCGGCGAUCGAGUAGUAGGAGGAAGUACCGAGGUCUUCAACGUCUAUCUUAAGAGAGCGGAGAUGCGAGACAAGAGCGUCCUUGAGGUUGCAGCCGAAGGAGUCCGCUCCGGUUAUGAUUUUGAGAGGCUGGGGAGUAGCGGCGACGGUAGAUUCAGCCAUUUGUGCUGUUGGCAGCGGCGGUGUAGAGGUCGUAACAGGGAGUGAUGGAGUACGGGACACCAAUUAUCUGAAAUUAAAUCAUUAAAUUCUAGAAAGUAGAUCGACAUCGGGCCAGAUUCAUCCAAAAAAAUAAUAAUUAACUGAAAUAAAAUAUGAGGAUAAAGUAUACUUUAAUAUAUGUACAGUAAUACCAUGGCGCUUCACUUCGCAAAACAAGACUGUUGCAGACAGGGUUUUAAGGGAUGACAAGGCCUCUGAAUC
This 4426-nucleotide unclassified non-coding RNA is filed under the name Hevea brasiliensis (rubber tree). Lineage: Eukaryota; Viridiplantae; Streptophyta; Magnoliopsida; Malpighiales; Euphorbiaceae. The record is from RNAcentral.